GAAGGAUCAUUAUCAUGUAGAUAUCAGUCUUGCUCUCCGCUUGAGCUGUUAAAUACACCCACCCCGCGUACACCGUCCUGUUGCUUCCGCCGGGCGCGGAUAACCGCCACACCCGGCGGGAGGGUAAAAUGAACCCCCAAGUUUACUGCAGAAUCUGUCUGAACACAAAAAGGAAACGAAUGAAAUGUUAAAACUUUCAGCAACGGAUCUCUUGGUUCUCGCAUCGAUGAAGAACGCAGCGAAAUGCGAUAAGUAGUGUGAAUWGCAGAAUUCAGUGAAUCAUCGAAUCUUUGAACGCACAUUGCGCCUUCUGGUAUUCCGGGAGGCAUGCCUGUUCGAGAGUCAUUGACAACCGUCUCGAAUCCCCCCUUUCCAGCCCUCCUCUUGGGGUUCUGUUUUGAGAGGAAUCGGUCCUGGUGGAUGAGGAAUGAUGAGUUGGCUUGCAGAUCCCUCCUGUCCCACCAAUGCGCCGUGCGGUCUUGGUGGGCAAACAGUUUAUGGGGUUCGGCUCGUCAAAUCCCCUCCCCUCCGAAAUUCAUAGGUGGUUCGUGUAUGACCGACCUGUUGCAUGGGUGUUGUAAAGGAGGCUCUCUCACCAUUUUGUAGGAGUCCACUUUUCGCUUCUCAACAGUAAUGGUUUAUAAACCACACUUGUACAUUGUGAUGGGACCGAGUGCGUUCUGCGCACUUUUGCCCCACACGGUGACGAGUUGGGGAAACACUGGGCCGGCCUUCCAAAAGGAAAUAAAUAAUGAAAAACAACCCCCCGUAGUUUUAUUAUUAUUUGAAUAUCAAAGGUUGACCUCGGAUCAGGUAGGGAUACCCGCUGAACUUAAGCAUAUCAAUAAGCGAAGGGAAA
RNAcentral lists this small RNA (859 nucleotides) under uncultured fungus. RNAcentral's name for it is "eukaryotic LSU rRNA". The stretch from base 192 to 345 matches the Rfam family "5.8S ribosomal RNA". Lineage: Eukaryota; Fungi. The record is from RNAcentral.